AUCAAACUCACGGAUGAUGUAAAACACAAUUAAAUAAGAUGCAAACUACAGCUUAUAAUAUUGUCUGUAAUUCUUCCAAAUAAAUUAAUAUUAACCCCCCAAUGAAAAAAAUACAACUUAAUAUCUAAAAUUGUCAACGCUAUAAAAUAGUCUAUCUUCUUCUUUAGAAUUCCUCCAAGCACGCUUAAGUAAAAUGGAAAGCGUGUCAAAAUAUCCCUGAAUCCUGUAAUUGAUAUGAGAAACCAAAUGCAAUCCAUCUGCUACUAUUCAUGAGUUUGAUCAGGGAGUUGCGAAGAAAUUUGAGAAGACCAAGAGUAGAACCCAUUGUCAUAGACAAGUGAUAAAACUUUACCCAUUAUCAAGGACGAGUGCCAUUCUCUAUAUCAUGUCCUGAUUUGUCGAAACAAAAUGAGGAAUCCAACCACCCUGCAACUUUAGCUUUCUCAACAUAAUGUACAAACUGUUUCUUAGCAUCAGGAACAUCCAGAGCCAAGUCAUCAAGAGUUUCUGCUACCCUACCAAAACCUUUCAUCAUCUGGUACGAGGUUAUGAGCCCUGAACAGAAACUCUCAUUAAGCAGUCGCCAUAAUCUUUCAUUCUUUUUCUCAAUGAUUGUCACCAAUGCUUUUUUAACGACCUCAUGGUGAAAAAAUGGCAUGCUUAAUUCCUUUAUGCAGCGGGAAGCUUCCCUGAUGUCUCCUCCAGAAUCAUAUUCCUCCAGCAACUUCCCAAUUUUAUCCUUAACAUCCUCAACUGCCCAUCCGGGUCUGCUGCUACCUGCUCCACCCCAACACCUUAGGAUUCGCUCCCCAGAAAGUCGAGCCUUUAGUAAUGAAUUUGCCAUUCGAAGGACCUUGCUUCCAAUUGACUCUAGCCCUAAAAACUGGCUUUCAAUUUCCUCCAAGUGUUGUGGGGCCAACACUUCAUCCACCACUGCUCUGGCUAAAAACAUUGCAAGAUCUUCAACAACAACUGGAUUAUCCAGAGCAGUGUCAUCUGCAGAUUCUAUCAACAUAACAAAUCCAUUCAAAACAUCAUCAGCUGGGAAGCACAAAGAUGACAACAAAACAGAAGCCAUUUCCUUUUCCCUAUUUUUUCUAUCCAUUGCUAAAGUUAUCAAUCUUUUAACAAAGACAGCAUUCAGUUCAGCAACACCAUUACCAUUCUCUGAUUCGAGACAACUACUGACCUCUGAAAUAUCACCAGAUAAGAAAUAUUCUUGAAUAAUAAAUUGAGCCUUUGUCUUGAAAAUUUUGGUAGCAUUGUCUUCUAAAGGUUGUUUCACUGGUGCUAAUGAGAGUGACUUCAAAGAUGAAGCACUCAACCAACCUUCUGAAGCAGCCUUGGAAAUUAAAGACUGCAAUAUCCCUCUUGCAUCUGGAAUGUCUAAGGACAAGUCAUCCACAGCAUCUAUAAUCCGGUUAAAUCCUUUUGUUAUUUGGCUUGUAUUAAUCAAUCCUUCUUGAGCAGCAUCCUUAAGCAAAUCCAGUAGCCGGCCUUCAGCUUGCUGCCUUUCCAUUGCCAUUAUAAUAGCCCGUUUAAUUAUUUCAUGAUGAAAGAAAGGAACAUUCAAAUCCUUGAUGCAUCUGAAAGCUUCUUUCUUAUCACCACUCACUAGAUACUCUACUAGCAAAUUGUUUAUAUUAGCAUUCACGUCCUCAACUGUUUUAUUCUUACUGCCUCCCCAUCGGCGCUCAAUAAUUUCUGCAUGAAGAGGGGCUGCUAGAUAGCCCUUUUCAGCUCUUUUUAAUACAUCAACCCCCUUUGAUUCUGCAGGUAAAGAAGCCAUUUGUUUUUUCAAAAAUGCAGGUGGAAGUAUGUCAUCAACGACAGCUCUGGCAAUGAAAAGUGCAAGAAUAUCAACAGUGUCAGGUAUAUCUACAAUUAAGUCAUCUGAAGACUCCACCAAUUUACUAAACCCUUUGUGAACUUGUGAAGGAUCAAUGAUGUCAGCAUAAAGAGCAGAUAAAAGAACAGCAGCCAUUUCCUUCUCUUUAUCAUG
RNAcentral lists this unclassified non-coding RNA (2002 nucleotides) under Hevea brasiliensis (rubber tree). The record is from RNAcentral. Lineage: Eukaryota; Viridiplantae; Streptophyta; Magnoliopsida; Malpighiales; Euphorbiaceae.